RNAcentral lists this small RNA (814 nucleotides) under Pongo abelii (Sumatran orangutan). Its description in RNAcentral is "processed transcript". The record is from RNAcentral. Lineage: Eukaryota; Metazoa; Chordata; Mammalia; Primates; Hominidae.
AUUGUGGCUAAACACACCUCUGCACUGUGUAACAGCUGUCGCCUGGCCUCUGCCCGUACCACCAAUCCUACCGCCAAGCGCCAGUUUGUACAGUCAGCCAAGGAGCUGGGCCAUGGCUGUGCCGCUCUGGUCACCAAGGCAGGCGCCCUGCAGUGCAGCCCCAGUGAUGCCUACACCAAGAAGGAGCUCAUAGAGUGUGCCCGGAGAGUCUCUGAGAAGGUCUCCCACGUCCUGGCUGCGCUCCAGGCUGGGAAUCGUGGCACCCAGGCCUGCAUCACAGCAGCCAGCGCUGUGUCUGGUAUUAUUGCUGACCUCGACACCACCAUCAUGUUCGCCACUGCUGGCACGCUCAAUCGCGAGGGUACUGAAACUUUCGCUGACCACCGGGAGGGCAUCCUGAAGACUGCGAAGGUGCUGGUGGAGGACACCAAAGUCCUGGUGCAAAACGCAGCUGGGAGCCAGGAGAAGUUGGCGCAGGCUGCCCAGUCCUCCGUGGCGACCAUCACCCGCCUCGCUGAUGUGGUCAAGCUGGGUGCAGCCAGCCUGGGAGCUGAGGACCCUGAGACCCAGGUGGUACUAAUCAACGCGGUGAAAGAUGUAGCCAAGGCCCUGGGAGACCUCAUCAGUGCAACGAAGGCUGCAGCUGGCAAAGUUGGAGAUGACCCUGCUGUGUGGCAGCUAAAGAACUCUGCCAAGGUAAUGGUGACCAAUGUGACAUCAUUGCUUAAAACAGUAAAAGCCGUGGAAGAUGAGGCCACCAAAGGCACUCGGGCCCUGGAGGCAACCACAGAACACAUACGGCAGGAACUGGCGG